CCCUAGCCCUGAUGGCAGCGGAAAUCCUUUUUUGUAGCGCAGCGGAGAAAAAGAUUAUAGCGAACAGCAGGAAAAAGC
RNAcentral lists this small RNA (78 nucleotides) under Flavobacterium noncentrifugens. RNAcentral's name for it is "Flavo-1 RNA". It matches the Rfam family "Flavo-1 RNA". Lineage: Bacteria; Pseudomonadati; Bacteroidota; Flavobacteriia; Flavobacteriales; Flavobacteriaceae. The record is from Rfam by way of RNAcentral.